ACCUUUCCAUUUAUACUCAGAGAAAUUAGAAAUGGAAAAAGUCAUUAGGUUACCCUGUUCAUUUCCCUGCCAACACAGCUUAUUCUCAAGGGUUUGUCCAGUCUAAUUUUAGAUGUCCCAAGAGUCUUGACUUCAAGGACUUCAUUUGUAAAACCAUUCUGCUGUCCAAUGAACCUUCAUAAAUUGCCACCCUUCUAGCUCUUCAGCCUAAAAUUUCAACCUUCCAAUAGAUUCCAAAUGUUCCCUUGGCCUUCUCUAACUACAACAAUCAAGAUACAAUACUGGAGGGAGAGUUUUCUCUUUCCUUUAAGAUCUGUCUAAAAUACCUAAGAAAAGUGAUAUCUCAUUAAAUCCAAGAGAGGCAUUUCCCAAGUUCACUGGGCUGGUACAGGAGAACUUGAGUCCUGGUUUGUUUUCAAAAUUACAAAAUAUGUAGAGGCUUAAUAAUGUCUAGUUGCAUAUUUCUUUCCAAAGUCCAAGUAGUUCACUGAAAGACAUAAUAAACACUGCCAGUUAUGAAACUGUUAACACCUGCCAAGCAUUAUACCUGAGGCUUUGUAUACAUUGACUCUGACCUUACAACAACCCUGCACAGCAGUUAUUCACCUCAUUCUGCUUAUGAAGAAACUGAGACUUGCUGUGUUGGGGCCAAUAUUGCAGUAAAGUCUGCCUGGCUGAAACCUUUGCUUUUCCUGCCACACUGCACCAUAUCUGCAGCACCUUUGUCAGAGAGUGUGAGCACCUGGCUCCAGACUAUCCAUGUCCAAGCAGAUGGUGUUCCCUGACCAAGGCAGAAUGUGAAGAGGUGGAUGGGGCACAACAGCACACUUCCCAGAGGAUAAACUGCCUCUAAAUGUUCUGCAGACAAGCUCAGAGAGAAGCAGAUGGGGAUUGCUGGUCUGUGUAUAUAAUUUUUUUGAGGUAGAGACUAGUGAAUGGAGUUAAUUUGCAGGAAUGAAGAACCCAGACCCUGAGGCUGGGGAAUACAAGGGUAUGGGGGAGUAAACAGGACAGAAGAGCAGCAGCUCCUGAUAUUUGGCAACCACAUUUAGAUUGUUGACCAUUUCAUUGUGGUUUCAGGUAUCUUGGAUCCAUCCAAGGCUUUGAUUCAGCGUCUGGAUUUACAGGUGUUUUAAGAAACCUGACCAGGAACUUCUUUUUGACCCCAACCCUACGAGGAAUAUCAGGACUUAUUCCUGCCGCUGACUCAGCCAUCCCAAAUGUCCCACUAAAAGGGGGCCAUGAAGUGUCACCAUCCUUAACUAGACUGACAAGCGAGGAGCAGAUCGGCUCAGGAAGCUUCUCCUCAGGAAUUUAUCCAGUCUGAGGUUAUUGAGUCAUCUUGGGAGAAGCCAGUGGAGCAUACUGAUUAAAGAUGAAUUGCUGCCAUGUUAGAAGAAUGAACAUACCUGCGAGCUCUGAUGACUUCUUACAGAG
This is a long non-coding RNA of Phyllostomus discolor (pale spear-nosed bat), 1437 nucleotides long. RefSeq lists it as uncharacterized. The record is from RefSeq and is a predicted model, not a curated record. The transcript is spliced from 3 exons. Lineage: Eukaryota; Metazoa; Chordata; Mammalia; Chiroptera; Phyllostomidae.